RNAcentral lists this ribosomal RNA (468 nucleotides) under uncultured bacterium. RNAcentral's name for it is "bacterial SSU rRNA". It matches the Rfam family "Bacterial small subunit ribosomal RNA", at positions 8 to 485 of the family's 1533-position model. The record is from RNAcentral.
AGAGUUUGAUCCUGGCUCAGGACGAACGCUGGCGGCGUGCCUAACACAUGCAAGUCGAACGAGGUCCAUGCAGUGGCAACACUGCGGAAGACCUAGUGGCGAACGGGUGAGUAACACGUGAGGAACUUGCCCCGGAGACCGGGAUAAGCCCCCGAAAGGGGGUCUAAUACCGGAUGUCCUCACCGAGUCGCAUGGCUUGGUGAAGAAAUGGAUUCCGCUCCGGGAGAGCCUCGCGGCCUAUCAGCUAGUUGGUGGGGUAACGGCCCACCAAGGCGUCGACGGGUAGCUGGUCUGAGAGGACGAUCAGCCACACUGGGACUGAGACACGGCCCAGACUCCUACGGGAGGCAGCAGUGGGGAAUCUUGCGCAAUGGGCGAAAGCCUGACGCAGCAACGCCGCGUGCGGGAUGAAGGCCUUCGGGUUGUAAACCGCUUUCAGUGGGGACGAACCAAGACGGUACCCACAGA